UGAGGAAUAUUGGACAAUGGUCGGAAGACUGAUCCAGCCAUGCCGCGUGCAGGAUGAAGGUCCUAUGGAUUGUAAACUGCUUUUGUAAGGGAAGAAUAAGGGGUACGUGUACUUUGAUGACGGUACCUUACGAAUAAGCAUCGGCUAACUCCGUGCCAGCAGCCGCGGUAAUACGGAGGAUGCGAGCGUUAUCCGGAAUCAUUGGGUUUAAAGGGUCCGUAGGCGGGCUGAUAAGUCAGAGGUGAAAUCGUUCAGCUCAACUGAGCAACUGCCUUUGAAACUGUCAGUCUUGAAUGAUUGUGAAGUAGUUGGAAUGUGUAGUGUAGCGGUGAAAUGCUUAGAUAUUACACAGAACACCGAUAGCGAAGGCAUAUUACUAACAAUUUAUUGACGCUGAUGGACGAAAGCGUGGGGAGCGAACAGGAUUAGAUACCCUGGUAGUCCACGCUGUAAACGAUGGAUACUAGCUGUUUGGAGUAAUCUGAGUGGCUAAGCGAAAGUGAUAAGUAUCCCACCUGGGGAGUACGCACGCAAGUGU
RNAcentral lists this ribosomal RNA (538 nucleotides) under uncultured bacterium. Its description in RNAcentral is "bacterial SSU rRNA". It matches the Rfam family "Bacterial small subunit ribosomal RNA", at positions 355 to 895 of the family's 1533-position model. The record is from RNAcentral.